Molecule: ribosomal RNA, 151 nt
Filed under: uncultured Bacillota bacterium
Lineage: Bacteria; Bacillati; Bacillota
Description: uncultured Firmicutes bacterium partial 16S ribosomal RNA
Rfam family: Bacterial small subunit ribosomal RNA
Source: RNAcentral
UGACCGAGCGAUGCCGCGUGAGUGAAGAAGGUCUUCGGAUUGUAAAGCUCUGUGAUUAGGGAAGAAGGCUAUUAGGAGGGAAUGCCUAAUAGGUGACGGUACCUAAUUAGAAAGCCCCGGCUAACUACGUGCCAGCAGCCGCGGUAAUUAA